AAGGUCUUAGCUUAAUUAAAGCGUCUGAGUUGCAUUUAGAAGAUGCAGGUUAAUAUCCUGUGGAUCUUA
RNAcentral lists this transfer RNA (69 nucleotides) under Asio otus (long-eared owl). RNAcentral's name for it is "tRNA-Ala". It matches the Rfam family "tRNA". From Rfam's summary of the family: Transfer RNA (tRNA) molecules are approximately 80 nucleotides in length. Their secondary structure includes four short double-helical elements and three loops (D, anti-codon, and T loops). Further hydrogen bonds mediate the characteristic L-shaped molecular structure. tRNAs have two regions of fundamental functional importance: the anti-codon, which is responsible for specific mRNA codon recognition, and the 3' end, to which the tRNAs corresponding amino acid is attached (by aminoacyl-tRNA synthetases). tRNAs cope with the degeneracy of the genetic code in two manners: having more than one tRNA (with a specific anti-codon) for a particular amino acid; and 'wobble' base-pairing, i.e. permitting non-standard base-pairing at the 3rd anti-codon position. Lineage: Eukaryota; Metazoa; Chordata; Aves; Strigiformes; Strigidae. The record is from RNAcentral.